GACGAACGCUGGCGGCGUGCUUAACACAUGCAAGUCGAACGGAAAGGCCCUGCUUUUGUGGGGUGCUCGAGUGGCGAACGGGUGAGUAACACGUGAGUAACCUGCCCUUGACUUUGGGAUAACUUCAGGAAACUGGGGCUAAUACCGGAUAGGAGCUCCUGCUGCAUGGUGGGGGUUGGAAAGUUUCGGCGGUUGGGGAUGGACUCGCGGCUUAUCAGCUUGUUGGUGGGGUAGUGGCUUACCAAGGCUUUGACGGGUAGCCGGCCUGAGAGGGUGACCGGCCACAUUGGGACUGAGAUACGGCCCAGACUCCUACGGGAGGCAGCAGUGGGGAAUAUCGCACAAUGGGCGGAAGCCUGAUGCAGCAACGCCGCGUGCGGGAUGACGGCCUUCGGGUUGUAACCCGCUUUCGCCUGUGACGAAGCGUGAGUGACGGUAAUGGGUAAAGAAGCACCGGCUAACUACGUGCCAGCAGCCGCGGUGAUACGUAGGGUGCGAGCGUUGUCCGGAUUUAUUGGGCGUAAAGGGCUCGUAGGUGGUUGAUCGCGUCGGAAGUGUAAUCUUGGGGCUUAACCCUGAGCGUGCUUUCGAUACGGGUUGACUUGAGGAAGGUAGGGGAGAAUGGAAUUCCUGGUGGAGCGGUGGAAUGCGCAGAUAUCAGGAGGAACACCAGUGGCGAAGGCGGUUCUCUGGGCCUUUCCUGACGCUGAGGAGCGAAAGCGUGGGGAGCGAACAGGCUUAGAUACCCUGGUAGUCCACGCUGUAAACGGUGGGUACUAGGUGUGGGGUCCAUUCCACGGGUUCCGUGCCGUAGCUAACGCUUUAAGUACCCCGCCUGGGGAGUACGGCCGCAAGGCUAAAACUCAAAGGAAUUGACGGGGCCCCGCACAAGCGGCGGAGCAUGCGGAUUAAUUCGAUGCAACGCGUAGAACCUUACCUGGGUUUGACAUGGAUCGGGAGCGCUCAGAGAUGGGUGUGCCUCUUUUGGGGUCGGUUCACAGGUGGUGCAUGGCUGUCGUCAGCUCGUGUCGUGAGAUGUUGGGUUAAGUCCCGCAACGAGCGCAACCCUUGUUCACUGUUGCCAGCACGUUAUGGUGGGGACUCAGUGGAGACCGCCGGGGUCAACUCGGAGGAAGGUGGGGAUGACGUCAAGUCAUCAUGCCCCUUAUGUCCAGGGCUUCACGCAUGCUACAAUGGCUGGUACAGAGAGUGGCGAGCCUGUGAGGGUGAGCGAAUCUCGGAAAGCCGGUCUCAGUUCGGAUUGGGGUCUGCAACUCGACCUCAUGAAGUCGGAGUCGCUAGUAAUCGCAGAUCGGCAACGCUGCGGUGAAUACGUUCCCGGG
RNAcentral lists this ribosomal RNA (1343 nucleotides) under uncultured bacterium. RNAcentral describes it as "16S ribosomal RNA". It matches the Rfam family "Bacterial small subunit ribosomal RNA", at positions 28 to 1378 of the family's 1533-position model. The record is from RNAcentral.